GCCUCCGUAGCUCAGCUGGUAGAGCGUCCGCCUUGUAAGCGGAAGGUCGUGGGUUCGAAACCCACCGGAGGCU
This is a transfer RNA of 73 nucleotides. It matches the Rfam family "tRNA". Rfam says of the family: Transfer RNA (tRNA) molecules are approximately 80 nucleotides in length. Their secondary structure includes four short double-helical elements and three loops (D, anti-codon, and T loops). Further hydrogen bonds mediate the characteristic L-shaped molecular structure. tRNAs have two regions of fundamental functional importance: the anti-codon, which is responsible for specific mRNA codon recognition, and the 3' end, to which the tRNAs corresponding amino acid is attached (by aminoacyl-tRNA synthetases). tRNAs cope with the degeneracy of the genetic code in two manners: having more than one tRNA (with a specific anti-codon) for a particular amino acid; and 'wobble' base-pairing, i.e. permitting non-standard base-pairing at the 3rd anti-codon position.